GAUGAACGCUGGCGGCGUGCUUAACACAUGCAAGUCGAACGGAAAGGCCAGUGCUUGCACUGGUACUCGAGUGGCGAACGGGUGAGUAACACGUGGGUGAUCUGCCCUGCACUUCGGGAUAAGCCUGGGAAACUGGGUCUAAUACCGGAUAGGACAAUGGUUUGGAUGCCGUUGUGGAAAGUUUUUUCGGUGUGGGAUGAGCUCGCGGCCUAUCAGCUUGUUGGUGGGGUAAUGGCCUACCAAGGCGUCGACGGGUAGCCGGCCUGAGAGGGUGUACGGCCACAUUGGGACUGAGAGACGGCCCAGACUCCUACGGGAGGCAGCAGUGGGGAAUAUUGCACAAUGGGCGCAAGCCUGAUGCAGCGACGCCGCGGGGGGGAUGACGGCCUUCGGGUUGGAAACUCCUUUCGCUAGGGACGAAGCGUAUUUGUGACGGUACCUGGAGAAGAAGCACCGGCUAACUACGU
Molecule: ribosomal RNA, 467 nt
Filed under: uncultured bacterium
Lineage: Bacteria
Description: partial 16S ribosomal RNA
Rfam family: Bacterial small subunit ribosomal RNA
Source: RNAcentral